UAAGUUUUAUUUUAAAAUAGAAUAGUUAGUUGUUACCUAACAGGUGUAAUUAAUUACAAACUUAU
Molecule: transfer RNA, 65 nt
Filed under: Semelidae sp. STW-2017
Lineage: Eukaryota; Metazoa; Mollusca; Bivalvia; Cardiida; Semelidae
Description: tRNA-Asn
Source: RNAcentral